CCUACGGGGUGCAGCAGUGAGGAAUAUUGGUCAAUGGCCGGAAGGCUGAACCAGCCAAGCCGCGUGAAGGACGAAGGUGCCAAGCAUUGUAAACUUCUUUUGUCAAGGGACAAAAUCAGGCUCGAGAGCCUGACCGAGGGUACUUGAAGAAAAAGCAUCGGCUAACUCCGUGCCAGCAGCCGCGGUAAUACGGAGGGGGCGAGCGUUAUCCGGAUUCAUUGGGCGAAAAGCGCGCGUAGGCGGGUGCCUAAGCGGGACCUCUAACCUCGGGGCUCAACCCCGAGCCGGGUCCCGAACUGGGCGCCUCGAGUGCGGUAGGGGAGAUCGGAAUUCCCGGUGUAGCGGUGGAAUGCGCAGAUAUCGGGAAGAACACCGAUGGCGAAGGCAGAUCUCUGGGCCGCCACUGACGCUGAGGCGCGAAAGCUAGGGGAGCGAACAGGAUUAGAUACCCGUGUAGUC
This 459-nucleotide ribosomal RNA is filed under the name uncultured bacterium. RNAcentral's name for it is "partial 16S ribosomal RNA". It matches the Rfam family "Bacterial small subunit ribosomal RNA", at positions 338 to 795 of the family's 1533-position model. The record is from RNAcentral.